AGAGUAGGGCGUGCGCGUCGGGAGCUUCCCGGUAGUGCCGUUGGAUGGGAGGUUGCCAACGGACGAAAUGGCUUUGCCAUGCGGUGCGCGCCUGCAGCCGCU
Molecule: non-coding RNA, 102 nt
Filed under: bovine gut metagenome
Description: THF riboswitch
Rfam family: THF (Tetrahydrofolate) riboswitch aptamer
About the family: THF riboswitch presents a pseudoknot that joins P1-P2 and the loop of P3 and two THF binding.
Source: RNAcentral